GACGAACGCUGGCGGCGUGCUUAACACAUGCAAGUCGAACGGAAAGGCCCUGCUUUUGUGGGGUGCUCGAGUGGCGAACGUGUGAGUAACACGUGAGUAACCUGCCCUUGACUUUGGGAUAACUUCAGGAAACUGGGGCUAAUACCGGAUAGGAGCUCCUGCUGCAUGGUGGGGGUUGGAAAGUUUCGGCGGUUGGGGAUGGACUCGCGGCUUAUCAGCUUGUUGGUGGGGUAGUGGCUUACCAAGGCUUUGACGGGUAGCCGGCCUGAGAGGGUGACCGGCCACAUUGGGACUGAGAUACGGCCCAGACUCCUACGGGAGGCAGCAGUGGGGAAUAUUGCACAAGGGGCGGAAGCCUGAUGCAGCAACGCCGCGUGCGGGAUGACGGCCUUCGGGUGGUAAACCGCUUUCGCCUGUGACGAAGCGUGAGGGACGGUAAUGGGUAAAGAAACACCGGCUAACUACGU
This 467-nucleotide ribosomal RNA is filed under the name uncultured bacterium. RNAcentral describes it as "partial 16S ribosomal RNA". It matches the Rfam family "Bacterial small subunit ribosomal RNA", at positions 28 to 506 of the family's 1533-position model. The record is from RNAcentral.